RNAcentral lists this non-coding RNA (21 nucleotides) under Caenorhabditis elegans. Lineage: Eukaryota; Metazoa; Nematoda; Chromadorea; Rhabditida; Rhabditidae. The record is from RNAcentral.
UAACCUUCCAUUUCAAUCAGA